Molecule: unclassified non-coding RNA, 5066 nt
Filed under: Hevea brasiliensis (rubber tree)
Lineage: Eukaryota; Viridiplantae; Streptophyta; Magnoliopsida; Malpighiales; Euphorbiaceae
Source: RNAcentral
AAAGAUUUCUCUGCUCUAUGCUCAUAGUUAAUUGAAGCCUUAAAAAGGACAAAGUCCAAAAUCACCACUUUUCAACAUUCAACAGCAAAGACUUGUGUGAAAGCUAAAAGCUUUCUACUUUGUUGUUUCAUAAUUUUCAUUUCCAGUUUUCGCCCUUCCCUUGAAGGUGUAACCAGCUCAUCUUUGGCCUGUAAUGGUAACUCUGUUCAUCAAGUUUUUCCUGAGAAUCUUAUCUUUCAUCCACAAAAAAAUAAAAAAGUAAACAUAAUUGCAAAUCCCAAUAAUGAACAAUGUCAUUGUGUCAGAGAUUUUAACUUUCUCCUCCUGUAUAUUCCCACAAGAUCUAUGUUUUUCUCUCCUUUUUAUUUACCUUUCAAACUUGCCAUUACAGUGGGUUUGUAUUAUCUUCUUCUUCAUGAUGAUGAUGAUGCAGAGCGUUUUUGGGUAGCUGCUUCAGUUUCCUCUGAACUACCAUUCUCUUUCUUUGCUCCUACUGUUUCCUCCAUCCUCUACCCUGUAGUCUUCUCUCUCUCUCUCUGAGUUGAGAUAUUCUCUUUCUAGACCUCACAUUUUCUAGAUUGGUUCGUCUCUUUUGCUCAUCUAAAAUCAGUUUUUUCUCCAUCAGAAAAUACCCAUUAUUGAGAACUGUGAUGGUCUUUGGCUCUUGUCUACUCAGGAGACCAUAAGUUUCAAAGCAUGUUCUUCUUUCUCUCUCAAGAAUACUAUAGACACAGAGCAUGAAAUGUGAAAGCUUUGUUUACUGGCUAUGAACAAAGUUUUCUUCUUUUAUCUACUCUGUUUAAUCCCACUGAAAGCUUUCAUCAAAGAACUGCCUUUCUAUAUCUUCCUGUCACAGUCCCACCAGUAAUAACUCUACAUUUAAUCAUUUUCUUCUCUUUUUUUCUUGAUAGACAGACAACAAGCUUAGAGAGAGAGAGAGAGAGUGUGUGCGCGCGCGCGCUUGUGUUUGUGUUCGUCUCUCUACUACCUUAAAAAACACAACAAUGGCCGCCUUUACCAACAUUCUCUUUCUUCUCUCCCUCCUUUUCACCACCACCUCCUCCACACUCCACCGUCAUCUCCUUCACCAACCCUUUUUCCCUCUUACUGCCACCGCCCCUCCUAUCCAACCUCCUUCUCCUUCUCCCCAAGCUCAACCUCUGCCUCAAACCCAACCAAAAUAUCCUUUCUCCACCACUCCCAACAUCCCACAAAAACCUUUCUUUCCUACCUUUCCCUCCCCUCCUCCUCCUCCUCCUCCUUCCGUUUCUACUCUACCCACUUUUCCGGCGAACAUUUCUUCCCUCCUCCUUCCCCACCCUCCCUCCCCUACCUCCCACCGCCAUCUCAUUAUUACCAUCUCCAUUUCCCUCUCUCUCAUCUUUACUGCUAUCCUUGCAGCUCUAUCUGCAUUCUUUCUCUACUCCCGCCGCCAGCACCACCACUACGCCAAGACCACCGAGAAAAUUUUACGAUCCGACAGCCUUCGUCUUUUCCCACCAAACACUAUCCCUUCCGACGGCUCUCCCAAGCCCCCCAAACUUCCACAUCGACCUGACGUUCCCAACACCAGCUCAGAGUUCUUGUAUCUGGGUACAUUAGUAAACUCUCAAAGUGGAAUAGAUGAUCAACAGAAGGUUACGAAUUCGAGCAAUGCUGGAGUCAAGAUUGGUGUAUCAUCCUCUCCAUAUCAUAAACUGGGUUCUCCAGAACUCAAACCACUGCCUCCAUUGCCCAGACAUAACUAUACGCCGAGUUAUAGAAGCGGAGAAGUGCUGGUUGGCUCAUGCAAGGAUGAUGAAGCUCAUACAGAUACAGAGGAAGAGGAGUUCUUUUCGCCUAGAGGGUCAUCUGGGCGAAAAGAGACGAUUCAAGAAAGUCCGGUUCGUGUGGGAUCGAGUUCUAGAAGAGAGCUUCAAGGUAUCCAGGGAGAGAAUUUUGGGUCUAGAAGUUUUAAUUCCAGAACUGCAUCAUAUCCAUAUUCGAAUUCUUGUUCUCCAGCAAAUUCUAUACCCACUAGUCCCUCUCCAGUGUCGAAUUUGAGUCCUAUAAGCACAAUAUCUAAAUCGCCGGAGACUAUCAUCAGCUUCCCUGCUCCAAUUCAGUCCGUAAAGCGAUCAACAUUAUCCAUUUCUUCGUCUUCUUCCCCGUCCUGUUCAGGGAGAGAUUCAGGUAAUACCCAGAACUCCCCGGAGCGAAAUUCAAGUAUUCUUGGCGAGAAUAACCUUUACCCGACGAGAGUCGAAAGUGUUGCUAAGCAAUUUGCACCUACAAAACUGCCGCCACCUCCUCCACCGCCUCCUCCUCCUCCGCGGUUUUGGGAGAUUCCUGUGGCGGUAAGACCGGCUCGGGAUAUGAAUAUGGGGAGUUUUGGGCCUCCGGUUCUUGUUACUCCUUCGAGGCCCGUUUUUAUUCAGAGUGGAAUACCAAUUUUAGCUAAUGAGCAAUCGCAGAGCACUGCAAGCUUUGAGAGGAGUGAGGAGACCCUGAAACCCAAAUUGAAGCCUUUACAUUGGGAUAAAGUUAGAGCGAGCUCGGAUCGGGUUAUGGUUUGGGAUCAGAUUAAAUCCAGUUCUUUUCAGUGAGAUUCUAAUACCCCUUUUAGCUUUUCAUGUUUUGAAAUGGAGUUUCUUUGUGCUUUGUUUGAUUUGAUUAAUUACUGUAUGCUUUUUAAGUUUGUAGAAUGUUGGUUUGAUUGCAGAUUAAAUGAGGAAAUGAUUGAGACUCUGUUUACUGUGAACAAUUCAAAUCUGAAUGUGAAAGACAAUAAUGCGCGGCGACAGUCUCUUCUGUUGCAGAACCAGGAGAAUCGUGUGCUUGAUCCCAAGAAGUCUCAGAACAUUGCAAUAUUGUUGAGGGCGUUAAACGUGACCAUUGAUGAAGUAUGCGAGUCCCUUUUGGAAGGUAAUGGCUUACCUCUGUGAGAGCUUUCUUCGAGUGCAAUAUUUUAUAUGCAAUGGUACCUGCUUUAAUGUUAUCACUAUGAUUUUUGAAUAUGUAGAUUAUUGCCCUUUCUAGUCUCCAAUAGUUUGAUGGAAAAUAACUUAUCUACAGCAAAAGGUUAGUUUCAAAUGUUUAGAGGUCAAAUCUUUGAGGCUUGAAAAGAUUCUGUGGAUUUGAUGGUGUUAAAUGCUUUAGAUAUAUGAUUAUUCUGUUAUACUGGUUUGACCAUGUACAAUCCUAUACAGUCAUAAUGUCAUUAUAUGCAUUAAUGGUGAUGAAACAAAGAAAUUUCUUUGUAAACCCUGAAUUCUUGAUUGCUUGUGAAAAAAAAGAGGAGUGUUUUUGUUCAUUGUAUGAAGAUGUUCAUGAAUAAAGGAAACAUUUCAGUUUUCAAUUCAUUGGGGCAAGCUUGUUCUGAAAAGUGGAAUAUUAUCUGUCAUUUGUAACAUUUUCCAUUUAACACUGAAAAUGAAACACUUCUGCUUCAUGCCCUUGUUUUGGACUUUGUAUAAGGCUACAAAGAUAAUAUCUCUUUCUCACCACUCAAAUGAAUGAAACUAAAAGCAAUGCAUCUUUCUCUUAAUCUCUGAAGUCUAAACAAUGCCUAAUGGGUUUGAUAUUCUUCUUCGUCUAAAAUUCGGGCCAUCUCCAAUAUUAUUAAUUUGUCUCUAAAUUCUGAUAUGACAGGCAACUCAGAUGCAUUAGGAACAGAGCUUCUGGAGAGUUUAUUAAAGAUGGCACCAACUAAAGAAGAAGAGCGCAAACUAAAGGAGUUCAAGGAUGAGUCACCAUUUAAGCUUGGUCCUGCAGAGAAGUUUCUCAGAGCAGUGCUUGAUAUUCCUUUUGCAUUUAAGAGGGUCGAUGCUAUGCUUUAUAUUGCUAAUUUUGAUUCAGAAGUUGAAUACCUCAAAAGGUCUUUUGAAACCUUGGAGUCAGCUUGCGAAGAAUUGAGAAACAGCAAAAUGUUCCUGAAGCUUUUAGAAGCAGUGCUGAAGACUGGGAACCGCAUGAAUGUUGGUACAAACCGUGGCGAUGCCCAGGCCUUCAAGCUUGACACGCUCCUUAAGCUGGUUGAUGUCAAGGGGACUGAUGGGAAAACUACUCUCCUGCAUUUUGUUGUUCAGGAAAUUAUCAGAUCUGAAGGUUCUCGCAUUUCCGGUGUAAAUGAGAAUCAAACAGCUGAGAAAACUCAACAAUCCACUUUCCAGGAUGAUGUUGAAUUUAGGAAGCUUGGCCUGCAAGUUGUUUCAGGUUUGAGUGGAGAGCUCACAAGUGUAAAGAAAGCUGCAGCAAUGGAUUCAGAUGUGCUUAGCAGUGAAGUUGCAAAACUGGCCAUGGGAAUUACAGAAGUCUGGGAAGUUAUUAAAUUAAAUGAGGAAAUUGCAUUGAAGGACAGCAGCAGGAAGUUCUCAGAUUCAAUGAAUGGAUUCUUGAAGAUGGCAGAGAAUGAAAUUGUCAGGAUUCAAGCACAAGAGAAACUUGCUCUCUCAUUGGUGAAGGAAAUAACUGAGUAUUUCCAUGGGAACUCAGCUAAAGAAGAAGCUCAUCCGUUCCGUAUAUUUAUGGUGGUAAGGGAUUUUCUUUCCAUUCUUGAUCAGGUAUGCAAAGAAGUUGGAAAGAUCAACGAGAGAACUAUAUACAGUUCUGUCCGUUCAAUGCCGAUAAACUCAAACCUUCCACCAGUUUUUCCUGGAUUCAAUGGAAGACAACAUGAUGGAAGACAAUGAUGAAAAUUCAUUGUCUUAGUAUUGAUCUCCACCGCAGGUGAGAAUGCACUUCUGCUGAAGCUCUCACUGAGAUGCCUAUCAGAAAAUCAGUGGCACACUGAGAUGCCUAUCAGAAAUCUUACAAGAUUUUGGAUUUUGUUUAUUUUGUGUAAUAUACCAAAGGAAUUAUGUCAGGACAUAAUAAAGUAGUAAUGCCAAAAUAGGUAGAAUCUGUCUUUGUAAAUUGUUGGAAGCUGAAUUCAGGCCUUAAUUGUUCCUGUAAAUCUUUUAGAAGCUGAAUUGAAGUCGCAUCUUGUUCAAUUUCAUUAGCAUUAAAUAUGGCCGUUGUUUUGUUUCUAGUCUCAUCAUCUCUGCUUGGAACAAUCAUUCCAAUUUGAAAAAAUUUUAGGAAAAUUU